Molecule: long non-coding RNA, 1023 nt
Organism: Gallus gallus (chicken)
Lineage: Eukaryota; Metazoa; Chordata; Aves; Galliformes; Phasianidae
Source: Ensembl
UGCAAGUUGGAAAGGCCGGUAGGGAGAUGGAGGAGAGACAGUAAGCCAACAAAAUGCUUUAAACAGAAAUUAUUUUUUUCUCGCUGAGCCGUAAAGUAAUCCCUCUUCAAUGACCAACAGCACAGACCAUAAGGCUAGUAAGAUAUGGAUUAAAUAUCCUUUCAAGCAAACAGGCUACACAGGAUCCUUGAAAAUACUUUGUCAACAAUCUUCAUAGGAAUAGGACAAGUAUCUGUGUGCAAGGCGUCACCAUGUCCUUGGAAAGUCUCUGCGCAGGUGUUAAGCAACCUUGAGAGGUGCCCCUACUCAAGGGGGGAUUAUCUUGUGCGGCCAGCUGCUUGCAAGAAGAGCUCUCAAAGGAAUCCUUAGGCUGCUUCCUAUUUAUGAGAACUCUCUUUGCCAUGGAUCAUUCAUUUGGUAUAUUAUACAGUACUUUUCCUUGCAGCUAUUUAGAAAAGAAAGAAGAAAAAAAGAAGAAAAAGGAAAAAGGAAAAAAAGGAAAAGAAGAAAGCAAGAUCACAGAGGAGUUUUGGGACAUCUGACAAAAUAUCCCUGCAGCACAUGCAGUAAACAGCUUGUGGCUCCAGAACAUCUUUGAAAGUACAGCCUUGGAAGGACAGCAAAUGGAUCACCUGACAAAGUGCUGGAGCUAAGAGCUUUCAGCUCACAUGGACCUAAAAGCCAAGGUUUUACAGGGGACUUUUCCGGGUGCACACACUGCCUUAGCACACCACUUAAGCACAGCAACCUUUUCUCCAAAUCUCCAUAGGGAUCAAGAGGGAGGAUUUACUAUCACAAACAGUCCUGGGGCAUAUUAGAAAGUCUCAAAGAGAGGCAAUUAUCUAAAGAUUUUUCCUCAUUUACUUUUCACAUCAGUGCUUUGCAGCAGGCAGUUCCCCAUAUCAGCCUCUUACAGAAAUGGCAGCAGCACAUCGCAAGAAACACUUUCCUUCUGAUCAGAGAAACGUGAGCACAUGUAAGCAUUUUCAUAGGUAUUAAAAAAAAAAAAAAAAAAAAAACACA